UUUUUUUUUACCACAAGAGGGUGGUAUAGCCUCCCAAGAGCCAGUCAGGCUGGUUCUUAUGUCCAGUAACUGAACUUGUGAGGACUGAGGACUGCUUUUGCAUGGGAAUUAACCACAUGCACACUGUUUUGAUGUAGGUAAUUUUAUCAAAUUGGCUAAACAUUUUGUAGGACACUAGAAUUUAAGUCUGGUGAGUCAUGCAUGGCAGAGAUUCUGAAAGAAAACUGAAAGGCUAGACUCUCUUUCCAUGGAUGAAGAGAACUUGGUCCCAUUCUGUCUCUUUGCAUGUCUGUAAUGUCAAAGACUUUGUUGCUUUAAUCUAUUGGGUUUAAAUAUAGCCUCAAUUGUGUCUUCGCUAAUUUUGUCCCAAGUUUGGAUGUAUUGCUUUUUUGUGAGGACAUGACAGCAUGCAGCUCCACAUGGCUGCCUGGGCGCUCAUGUUCGUCAGUGGUUCACAACCUUUGGUUUUAGAUCCAUGAGGAUCAACACUGGCUAUUGUGAGAAGAAAACAUAUUAGUUAAUACCAAUAUCUCCAUGGAAUCAAAAUCAAAGGCUAUGACCUGACAGAUGUAAUUUGUGAUUUAUUCAGACUGCAGAGGUCCACUUACUAUUUACCAUCCUGAUUCUGCCUAGGAAAUUCCAUAGACUCCAGCAGUCUACACUAGUACUUCCCAUGAAGCCAUAGCAACUCCAUAUUCACACCAUUCAUCUAUUCAACUGCACUGAACACUAACAAAGCUCAUAGCGAAUCAGAAACACUACAGACAAGGCUGACGUCAGUCUCUCUACGUCACUCCUUUGCACAUAAACAGACUUAUGUUGCAUGUAAAAUAAGAGUGUGCGCGUGUUUAUGGCAUAGGAGGGGGUGUUUUAAGUAUCCAUCCCAGAACAGACUCACCAGUAAUAGUGACCAGUGACAGAGAGAUAAAACAUAGAGUUGUAUUUCAGUGACAGAGCUGAAUCUACAGCUGACAAGAAGAACAGAGAGCUUUGCACCUCAUCAGCACUUCUAGUAACAAUGGAAAUAGUUCUUACCAGACUGAGAGAUUUCUCCUGUAAAGAAACUUCUUUUGAUCACUGUAAAGCAGCAGUAAUGUGCAUGGAGCAUCCCUCAUCCCAGGAAGUGCACAGGGGGAAGUGUAUGCCUGGAGAGGGGGACAUUGAGACUGCACUGGUCUGGUUGAGGAAGGAGCUGAUGGAGAUGCGCUCUCAGGAACAAGCUUUGAUUCGCCAGCUGAUGGAUCUCCAUGACGGCAUUCAGGAACUGAAGCAGUAGUGUGCAAAAGCCAUAGAAGAAGAGGAAGAGGAGGAGGAAACUUGUUGGGACUCUGGGAGUGAGGGUGGGCGGAGCAGCAGUAUUUCCUCCUUCUCAGGAGAAAUGAGCUUUUACACUUCCAUCUACUCCUUUAGCACAUGUAUGAGCCCCGCUUCUCUUGAAGCCUACAUACCCAAGCAGGCCUUUAGUAGACGCAGAUCUGUGCCCUGAAACCUCCAGUUCAGAUCACAUGUGCUUGAUUAAUAAUACACUAAGUUCCAUUAUGCAUGUUACAUUAGUGUUGAGUCUCACAGAGAAACAAAUUAUGUGAGAAACUUCAUAAUGUCUUAUUGGACUCUGUAUUUAAAACAACCGAAGUAACACAACUGCCUUAAGUUCAGAACAUACUAAAGAGAAAAGGUCAAAUGUUUUACACUGUGAGAAACUUGAUAAAGUCUUUGGUGAUAGACUAUUCUACCUGAAUGCACUAAUAGAUACUUUAGAAUGCACUGAGGAAGUUUUUUUUUUACUUAAACAGCUCUUAGCCUGUAUAUUUGUAAAUUCAUUUUCUUUCAUUGUAUUUCAUUUUCGAGUGCAUCUUCAAACUAAGUGCUUAAGUGUUGUAUGAUGUUUUUAUGACACUGACAGCAAAUUACCAGAAAUGUAUUGUUCUGAAAGCAGAACAAUGAACAAAUCCAUUCUGUUGUAUUGUGAGAGUCAUAGCAUAACAUAUUUAGAUUUUUCUUUUUCUUUUAUUUUUGAUCAAGACAUGAACAUAUAUUCACUGAUUAUCAUUUUUUUCCGGGACAAAUAUAAAAAAACUAAUGAUAUGCUAAGACAUGCUUUGACAUCAUACUUAUUACUAGUACCACAAGUAUGAUAAUUAAAACCUAUAAACCUGA
Long non-coding RNA from Carassius carassius (crucian carp), 2157 nucleotides. RefSeq lists it as uncharacterized. NCBI's taxonomy places the organism in Eukaryota, Metazoa, Chordata, Actinopteri, Cypriniformes, Cyprinidae. The transcript has 2 exons. The record is from RefSeq and is a predicted model, not a curated record.